GGGUGCGACCAUACCAGCACUAACGCCCCGGAUCCCAUCCGAACUCCGAAGUUGAGCGUGCUUGGGCGGGAGUAGUACUAGGAUGGGUAACCCCCUGGAAAGUCCUCGUGUUGCACCCC
RNAcentral lists this ribosomal RNA (119 nucleotides) under Olea europaea subsp. europaea. Lineage: Eukaryota; Viridiplantae; Streptophyta; Magnoliopsida; Lamiales; Oleaceae. The record is from RNAcentral.